ACAAUAGUACAGGCUGUACUGUAAUGAAAAUCUGUGACUAAGGACUGUCCUCCCUGUCUGCAGCUGUGCCCAUGCAGAAGCUGCUGAAAGCUGAGCCUAUCACAUUAAAGGUUUAUUGAGGUGAUAGGGUCAAAAGAGGAGGAAAAGGCAGAAAUAUCCCUUUAUACAGACUGAAUACCUCAACCUUUGAAAAAAAGCCUGCAGACAGCCUGUUGCCUGGGGUUACAGAACAAUGCAGAUGGGUUGCAGUAACACCAGCCAUGCCAGAAGCUGUGCUGGCUUCAGUGCCUGCUUUUGUCCCUUUCCAGCUGGAUCAGGACAUCACUGCUGCUGUCGGUAGCUUCCAACACAACACAAGUGGAAGUGGGAACCGCAGGAUGACACCAGCUGGUUUGGGGGAGCCACAUCCGGGACGAUAUUUCCUUCCUGGAUAUUGUUAUUCCUCUACCCACACAGAAGCAGGAACACUCCCCAGGGGAGUGAAGAAAGGCCCAUGUGUCACCCACUUGACAGCAUUGGGCUGCUGCAGUGAUCCCCUGCCUGCACCAGCUUCCGGGACAGGCAAGCAGAGGAUGAAUGAUCACAACAGGUAGGACAGGUAAGGGCAGCCCUGGGGCAGUCCGGCCCUGCUGAGCCAUGCUGUGCUGUCCCAGGGUGCAGGGUGGCUGGAUGAGGGGCUGUGUGCCCUGGCUGUGCCAUACCAUAUCGUCUGAUGAGCUGCAUGCUCUUGUUGUGCCCUGCUGUGGCAUCUGAUGCCAGCCCACUCCAUGCCAUGCCAUCCCACAAGCAGCAUGAGUGACCAGGAGACUGCCAGCUCUGGCUGUGCUGCUCCUGGGGGUGCUGUUGGUCACCUCCCCUCGGUAUAGGAGGGUAUCCAUCACUCCCAGCUCUCCCUUGCCCUCCCUGGGAGGAAGAGGUGCUGUCCCAGCCGCUGCCCAUGCCGCUGGUCCCUGGUGCCACACAGAGGGGCCUUGCCAGCCCCAUACAUGCAGGACACAUGUCCCACUGCUUAGGGAGGCUGGAGGGAUGGCUGUGACUCAUCAGUGCCCGAGGCACCCACACAGCCCCCAGUCUUCAUCGCUGUCUGUCUGGGGACACAACAGGAAGGGCAGUGGAUCUCCCUAUCCCCCACCCUUCCCUAACGAGGCUGGCAUAGCCUUCAAGUGCUGUGCUGAAUGAGAAAGGAGAAAAAGGAAACAAGGUGCCCAGCCCUGGGCAGAAUGGCACAUGGUUUGGUUAGUGCCAGCCUCUGGCACAGCUGCUCACCACGGAGCCCUUUUCUGCCUCCUGGCCUUGCCCCCCUGCAGGCAGCAGAGGAGCCAGUAAGAGGCAGGGGGCAGGUCUUGCCUGCCGUCACAGCUGGAGAGAUGGGUUGGUGCCUUGAGCAAAAGACCAUGUGGCUUCUGCGGUCACGCAUGGACAACAUUGAAAAUGACUGGAAAGCCACCAGGGUCGGCACCAACAUCUUCACCCGUGUGCAGCCACAGAAGGAGUGAGAAGGGCAGCAGGGGCGUUCCCAGGCCGGCAGCAACACUGGAGGGGAAGCCCCCACUCCUGCCCCACCACUUGUUUCUCCCAAUAAAGCUUUGUUGCAAAUCUC
Molecule: long non-coding RNA, 1600 nt
Organism: Pseudopipra pipra
Lineage: Eukaryota; Metazoa; Chordata; Aves; Passeriformes; Pipridae
Exons: 3
Source: RefSeq, a predicted model, not a curated record